GACGAACGCUGGCGGCGCGCUUAACACAUGCAAGUCGAACGGGGCACUUCGGUGCUUAGUGGCGAACGGGUGCGUAACACGUGAGCAAUCUGCCUGCGGGUGGGGGAUAACCCGGGGAAACCCGGGCUAAUACCGCACGAUGUCAUCGGAUCGAUUGGCCGGACGAUGAAAGAAGCUUAACGGCUUCGCCUGCAGAGGAGCUCGCGGCGUAUCAGGUAGUUGGUGAGGUAACGGCUCACCAAGCCGACGACGCGUAGCCGAUCUGAGAGGAUGAUCGGCCACAUUGGGACUGAGAUACGGCCCAGACUCCUACGGGAGGCAGCAGUGGGGAAUCUUGCGCAAUGGGCGAAAGCCUGACGCAGCGACGCCGCGUGCGGGAGGAAGCUCUUCGGGGUGUAAACCGCUGUCAGGGGGGAAGAAUGGGCGCGGGAGGAAAUGCCUGCGUUUUGACGGUACCUCCAAAGGAAGCACCGGCUAACUCUGUGCCAGCCGCCGC
RNAcentral lists this ribosomal RNA (496 nucleotides) under uncultured bacterium. RNAcentral describes it as "bacterial SSU rRNA". It matches the Rfam family "Bacterial small subunit ribosomal RNA", at positions 28 to 518 of the family's 1533-position model. The record is from RNAcentral.